This 520-nucleotide ribosomal RNA is filed under the name uncultured Glomus. RNAcentral describes it as "SSU rRNA". It matches the Rfam family "Eukaryotic small subunit ribosomal RNA", at positions 569 to 1091 of the family's 1831-position model. The record is from RNAcentral. Lineage: Eukaryota; Fungi; Glomeromycota; Glomeromycetes; Glomerales; Glomeraceae.
AGCAGCCGCGGUAAUUCCAGCUCCAAUAGCGUAUAUUAAAGUUGUUGCAGUUAAAAAGCUCGUAGUUGAAUUUCGGGGUUAGCAAGUUGGUCGUGCCACCGGUAUGUACUGGCUUUGCUGAUUCCUCCUUCUUGUAGAACCGUAAUGCCAUUAAUUUGGUGUUGCGGGAAAACAGGACUGUUACUUUGAAAAAAUUAGAGUGUUUAAAGCAGGCUAACGCUUGAAUACAUUAGCAUGGAAUAAUGAAAUAGGACGACGAUCCUAUUUUGUUGGUUUCUAGGAUUGACGUAAUGAUUAAUAGGGAUAGUUGGGGGCAUUAGUAUUCAAUUGUCAGAGGUGAAAUUCUUGGAUUUAUUGAAGACUGACUACUGCGAAAGCAUUUGCCAAGGAUGUUUUCAUUAAUCAAGAACGAAAGUUAGGGGAUCGAAGACGAUCAGAUACCGUCGUAGUCUUAACCAUAAACUAUGCCGACUAGGGAUCGGAUGAUGUUAAUUUUAUAAUGACUCAUUCGGCGCCUUAA